RNAcentral lists this long non-coding RNA (213 nucleotides) under Solanum tuberosum (potato). RNAcentral's name for it is "long non-coding RNA (STUB_LNC004376)". The record is from RNAcentral. Lineage: Eukaryota; Viridiplantae; Streptophyta; Magnoliopsida; Solanales; Solanaceae.
UCCUUGCUUAUAAAUUAUAACCAAAGAAAAUAAGUUAGAAAAUUACUUAUUUUCCGGAAAAAUAUUUGGUUUUGUGGAAAAUAUUUUCCUUCAAACCAAAUACAUGUUAUUUGGUACGAAGGAAAAUAAUACUUUUCAACUUUUUCAAGUUUAAUUGGUCAAUAUUUUUGAAUUUCUUAAGAAAACAAAUUUGUUAGUAAUGAUACAAAUGAC